GUUCUUAAAUAUGAAUAAUUUAAAAAGUUAUCAAAGGAAAUCUUGAUAGAAAAAUAAAGACGUCGCGCGACGAAACAUCAUAGAAAGGCACUUGCUUAUGAACUAUGAGUUUCUUUAAGAAAACUCGCAUUUAAUAUGCUUUUAUACAUUUAUGUGAAUUGAAUCAUCUUAGUAACAUAUUAAAAAAUCAAACGAGAAUUUGUAAGUAACGGUGAGUGAAAGCGAAUCUAGCUGUGUGCUGAAACCCAAAGAAGGUAAUUAAGUCCUUUGUAGCAUUAAUAAUAAUACAAAGUAGUAUGAUUAAUUUUGUACGAAAAUAGGAGUACCAUCUUCUAAGCUAGAAAUUUUUCUAAUCGAUAGUGAACGAGUACUGUGAAGGAAAGAUUUGAAUUUGCUAAUUUAUAUUUAUUUGAAGCUAAUAUAUAUAGCAACAAAGUGCCUUUUGCAUAAUGAGUCAGUAAGUUAAUAUAUGUAGCAAGCUUAAAAGUAUUAAGGCAUUAAAAGUUACAUGUAUUAGACCCGAAGCCAAGUGAUCUAUUUUUAAGCAAGCUGAAGAUGUUUUAAAACGCAUUGAAGGGCUGAACCCACGUCUGUUGAAAAAUACGGGGAUGACUUAAGAAUAGGGGUGAAAGUCCAAUCAAACUUGGUGAUAGCUGGUUUUCCGCGAAAACUAUCAAAGUAGUACGUUGCUUUUAAAAAAUGUGGGUAGAGCUACUUAUUAAACUUAGAUUUUGCUAUGUUUUAUUAAACUCCAAACUAUAUUUUUUCUAAGCAGCAGACAGUCAUUAGGCGAUAAGGUCUAAUGUCAAAAGGGAAACAACCCUAAUCGGUAGCUAAGAUCUCAAAAUUAUGAAUUAGUGAAAAAAUGAAAAAUAAUUCGAAUAAACAGAGUAGGCUUAGAAGCAGCCAUCUAUUGGAGAAAGCGUUUUAGCUCAUUAUUUUUAUUUAUUUUGUUCAUUUAUAAUGUAAAGAGGCUUAAAUUUAUAUAUCGAAGCACCGAAUUAAGUUAUAUUUAGCUUAGUGGUAGCGGAACGUCCUGUAGUCUUUUAUGUUAAUGUUAAAUUGCAUAUUAAAAAUCAGGAGUGCUAAUGCUGACAUGAGUAGCGUCAAUCAUGUUGAAAACAAAUCAUGAUCGUCUAUUGUUCAAGGGUUUUCAGUAAAUUUUAAGUAACUGAAUUUAGUCGGCCCUUAAAAAAAAAGCGAAAGCUGUAUUUGAUAGGAAAGUUGGUCCACAUGUCUGCAAAACAUUCUUUUGUUUUGUGUAAAAAAUCAAUAUUUUUAAAUUCUGCUCAGUAAACUAGCAACUUUAAGAAAUUGUUUUUCAGGAAAACUUACAUGAAGUUUGACCGUACCUAAAACCGACACAGGUGAACUUAUUGAAAAGAUAAAGACGAGUGAGCGAAUUAUACUUAAGGAACUCGGCAAAUUUGCUCUGUACGUUCGCAAAAAAGAGCACCUUAAAGGUUUCAAGAAUUAGGGGUAGCGACUGUUUAACAAAAAAAUCUUAAAACUUUGCAAAUUCUAAAGAAGACGUAUAAGGUUUGAUGCCUGCCCAGUGCUUGAAAGCGAAAAAUAGAUGUUAAUGCAUAUAUUAUAAACCCAAGUAAACGGCGGUCUUAACUAUAAGGAUCCUCAGGUAGCGAAAUUCCUUGGCGGGUAAAUUCCGUCCUGCAUGAAUGGCAUCACGACUACCCCACUGUCUCUAGUAUAACCUCAGCGAAAUUACAUUGUCUGUGAAAAUGCAGACAUCCUACAACAAGACGGAAAGACCCUAUGAUUCUUAACUAUAAUUUUACAUCGUAAUAAUUUUGUACAUAGUACAGUAAAAGUAGGAGUAUAUUUAUACAACUUUGAAAAACUACUUUGUGUAUAGAAAAUUACUUACUAAAGAGGAAAUGUGUAAAAGUGGUAGUUUACUUGGGACGAGGACCUCCUAAACUGUAACGGAGGUGCACAAAAGUAAAUUUUAAUUAGUUAUUUACACUAAUGUAACACGUAAUGGUAAAAGUUUGCUUGACGGUAAGAAUUACAAUUCAAACUGAGACGAAAGUCAGUCAUAAUGAUCCGGCAGUAACGUAUGGAAGUACUGUCGCUUAUCGGAAAAAAGAAACUCUAGGGAUAACAGAUUUAUCAUGGUUGAGAGUUCUUAUCGAUGCCAUGGUUUGAUACCUCGAUGUCGGCUCAUCUUUUCCUGGAGCUGUAACAGGUUCCAAGGGUAUGGUUGUUCGCCAAAUAAUAAGAUACGUGAGCUGGGUUCAGAACGUCGUGAGACAGUUCGGUCCCUAUCUGUUGUGGGUAAGAAAAAAAAAAGAUUUAUCUUUAGUACGAGAGGAUUAAGAUAUAUUAACCAAUAGUGUAUCGGUUGUAUUGUUUUUUGCAUCGCCGAGUAGCCACGUUAACAUUAUAUAAGUGCUGACAGCUUAAAAGCGCAAAAAAAAUCUUCCUUUUUUUCUGGAACAUUCUAGAAGAUUACUAGAUAGAUCGGCUUACUAUUUAAUACUUGUAAGAGUAAGUAAGUAAAUACGAAAAGUUCAUUAUAAUUUAUACUAUAUUUAAGAACGGGUUUUAUCCCGUUCUUAAAUA
RNAcentral lists this ribosomal RNA (2583 nucleotides) under Pyropia perforata. RNAcentral's name for it is "large subunit ribosomal RNA". It matches the Rfam family "Bacterial large subunit ribosomal RNA". The record is from RNAcentral. Lineage: Eukaryota; Rhodophyta; Bangiophyceae; Bangiales; Bangiaceae.